This 947-nucleotide long non-coding RNA is filed under the name Serinus canaria (Common canary). RNAcentral's name for it is "lncRNA (ENSSCAG00000001198.1)". The record is from RNAcentral. Lineage: Eukaryota; Metazoa; Chordata; Aves; Passeriformes; Fringillidae.
UUUCAUGGAUUAUUUUUUUCAAUUUUCAGAGAUAAUUUUUAACCUUUUUGUCCCCAAUUUUUGUCCCCUCAGCCCCGGGAUUGUCCCCAAGGUUGUCCCUGCUGGUGACGCUGGCGGUGCUGGCGCUGCUCCUGGGGCUCCUCCUCUUCACCUUCGGCCUCAGCCGCUACCUCCGCUCAGGUGACAUCCAGGGGACACCAGGUUACACCCCCCUCCCCGGUGACACCUACCCAGGCAGCAUCUGAGGAACCUCCCAGGACGGUGACGGCGACGGGGCCCGAAAAUCCAGAAAAUCACCCCAAAAAUCCUCCCAAAAAUCCCCCAAAUCCCCCCUAAAAACACCCCAAAAUCCCCCAAAUUCUGCUCAAAAAUCCACCCCAAAAUCAGAUUUAAAUCCCCCAAAAAUCCACCCCAAAAAUCUCCAAAAUCCCCCCUAAAAUUCCCCCAAAAUCCCCCAGAUCCUGCCCAAAAAUCCACCCCAAAAUCCCAUUUAAAAACCCAAAAAAUCCCCAAAAAAUCCCCUCAAAACCCCGAAAAUCAGAUUAAAAAACUUCCAAAAUCUCCCCAAAAUUCCCCAAAUCCUCUCCAAAAAAUCCACCCCAAAAUCAGAUUUAAAACCCCAAAAAUCCUCCCCAAAAAUCCACCCCAAAAUCAGAUUAAAAACCCCAAAAAACCCCAAAAAUCCCCCCAAAAAUCCACCCCAAAAUCAGAUUUAAAUCCCCCCAAAAUCCCCCAAAUCCUGCCCAAAAAUCCACCCCAAAAUCCCAUUUUAAAAACCAAAAAAUUUCCCAAAAUCCCCAAAAAAUCCCAUUAAAACCCCUCCUUUAAAUCCCCCUCCAAAUUCCCCUUAAAAUUCCCUUUAAACCCCAAAAAUUCCUCAAAAAAAACCCCAAAUUUUCCCCAUUUUAAAAAAUAAAAGCACUGAAAAUUUGGAGGAUUUUUAGAAU